CCCUUGGAAGAUGAAGAAUUGGUCGUCUUUAUUCUCAACGGGCUAGACUUUGAGUACAAUCCAUUAACCUCCGCUCUUGUAACUAUGGGUUAAGCCAAUUAAAUUACCUGAAUUAUACUCUCAGUUGUUGAGCUUUGAAA
RNAcentral lists this small nucleolar RNA (140 nucleotides) under Setaria italica (foxtail millet). RNAcentral describes it as "Small nucleolar RNA Z247". It matches the Rfam family "Small nucleolar RNA Z247". From Rfam's summary of the family: Z247 is a member of the C/D class of snoRNA which contain the C (UGAUGA) and D (CUGA) box motifs. Most of the members of the box C/D family function in directing site-specific 2'-O-methylation of substrate RNAs. The record is from Rfam by way of RNAcentral. Lineage: Eukaryota; Viridiplantae; Streptophyta; Magnoliopsida; Poales; Poaceae.